Molecule: long non-coding RNA, 2070 nt
Organism: Tympanuchus pallidicinctus (lesser prairie-chicken)
Lineage: Eukaryota; Metazoa; Chordata; Aves; Galliformes; Phasianidae
Exons: 4
Source: RefSeq, a predicted model, not a curated record
UAAGGGUUCCUUGCUUCUAUCUGAAUGGUAAUUUCACUCUUCUUGAGUUGUCACUCACCACUGGAAGGGUCCACGCUUCUUGAUAUGGCUGUAGAUCCAGGUCACAGCUAGUGCUAGGAUGCUUAUAUCUGAUGUGUGGAAUGAGCUGAGCCAUACUGUCUGCCUGUGAUUGACGGGCAAGUCAAAGCGGCUGGAGCUGGUGAUAAAGAUCAGUCUGGUAACAUAUUUUGACAAAAAAAAAAAAAUGUUGCAAGAAGGAUGUAGCACAUAGGAUUUUUCUUCUGGAUUCUUCUGAAUAUUUCAAGAAACUGCAUUAUAAUAUAAUAAUGCAUUAUGAUUGGUACAAAACUUCAUUCAUCUUAUCCUACUGAGGAGCUGCUUCUAACAAAAUAUGAAACAACAUUCUCAUCUUUCCCAUGAUUGUGUCAAAAAUCAAAGGUUCAGAGAUAAAAUACUUAUUGGAAAAUAAAUUGUCAGAAUUUUUUUUACAUCUCUAUUUUAACAGCACUUAAAUGACUUGGGAAAGCAUUUCAGGAAAAAAUUUUUUUUUUUUAGAAAAUAAACAAGCAGGAAAAAAAAAACCACCCUCAACAUCUGAAGGGUUAGAACUUUAACAUUAGAAGAAGGGAUAAUUGCAACAAAUAUUUAUUUUUCUGUUGAUUUGCUUGACUAACUCUAACCCUCAACAGUAAGUGCUUUGUGCUUUCAUUCAGUAUUUUAUUUGUUAGCAAAUAUUCUAAGGGAAGUGUAGUCCCCUGUGCUUUGCAGAUGACCUCAGGAAGUAUAGUUACGUAGAAUAAAAUCAUAGACAAAAACUGGCUCUUUUCUUAACAGUGAAUAUCUUCAUUAUGUAGCUAUGGGGAUGAUUUCAAUUAAAAAAAAUAUAUAUAUAUCUGAUUGGCAACUAAUUUCUUGCUUAGCCAAAUAAAGAAAAUCCAGAUCUGAUUUUAUUUUUUUACUAGAACUGUGACUUAUUUGACUUAAAAAAAAAAACUUUAGUAUGAAGAAGAAAGCUUUGUUUGCCUCUGUCUUUCAUUAUCAGUACUUCAAAAUUUGAACCGUCACCUGUUUCACUCUGCUUUUCUUUCUGAAUAAUUUUUUUUCCAUAACAUACAAGCUGGUGUGAAAAUCUAUCCACUUUACAAAGUGGUUAGUAUUCAUUUUUUUGUUUUCUAGGUUGUAAGAAAGGCAGGGCACUGAGAGAUAAAACUGGAGGAGGAAGGCUGAUGAUGAGAUGUUCUCAAUUGCAUAGCAUAGCAUAACUAUAUUCUAACAGAGCAAAUUUUUGUCAUCUUGAAGGCCGUGGUAAAUACAAUGCAACACUGAAAAUGAUGCACAAAAAUACAGCUUAUUUAUUAAAAAAGUAUAUUCAAAUGUGUAUAAUGUAGAGACAGAUAUUUAAAUAUGGAUAAUAUAAAGACGGACAGAAACAAAGGGCAUUUGUCUGUUACUCCUUUUAUCAAAAAUCAGGAAGCUGUUCCUCCUGCGCUCUAUCCCAAAGACAUUUUCUCCUUGGUUUUUAGUGUAUGUUCAGAGCAAGUGAUUUAUGUAAGCCCUGCAUAUUUGUGUGUUUUGUCAUUGAAGAGGACACUGAUUUAGCUAUACUUUUGCUUGCUUGCAGUCAAAAUACUUAUUUUGAAUACAAAGAGUUUUUACUCAAGUUAAACAUCCUCUUUACCCACAUGUUGGGAUUUCUUUUUUGUUAUCAAUUUAAUUAGAACAUUGUAAUACUAUUUCUUCAUACAGCAUUUCAGCUUUCUUGAUGAGCUGUUUUGAGGCAAAAUAGCAUUUUAUGCCUUCUAGAAUGAUACUGGAACUUGUACAGCUCUCAUCUGACACAGAUCCUUGUAUUUCUCUUAAAUGACAGGCUGAUCACUCAUUGUUCAGCAGUGUAAAUGGAAUUCAAACAGAGUUUUUAACUACAUGCCAGCUGAGACCAAAGGCCUAUUAAUAGCAAUGUUAGUGGCAACAGACCUAGGUAGGUUUUCAUGUGAAGUGGUGAGGCAGUUUAUGCUUGUGUGGGCAUGCACACAAUCUGCGUGUUCGUCAGCUAAGGAACUGCAAGUGUGC